RNAcentral lists this ribosomal RNA (402 nucleotides) under uncultured Pseudomonas sp. RNAcentral's name for it is "bacterial SSU rRNA". It matches the Rfam family "Bacterial small subunit ribosomal RNA", at positions 979 to 1382 of the family's 1533-position model. The record is from RNAcentral. Lineage: Bacteria; Pseudomonadati; Pseudomonadota; Gammaproteobacteria; Pseudomonadales; Pseudomonadaceae.
CCUUGACAUGCAGAGAACUUUCAGAGAUGGAUUGGUGCCUUCGGGAACUCUGACACAGGUGCUGCAUGGCUGUCGUCAGCUCGUGUCGUGAGAUGUUGGGUUAAGUCCGUAACGAGCGCAACCCUUGUCCUUAGUUACCAGCACGUUAUGGUGGGCACUCUAAGGAGACUGCCGGUGACAAACCGGAGGAAGGUGGGGAUGACGUCAAGUCAUCAUAGCCCUUACGGCCUGGGCUACACACGUGCUACAAUGGUCGGUACAAAGGGUUGCCAAGCCGCGAGGUGGAGCUAAUCCCAUAAAACCGAUCGUAGUCCGGAUCGCAGUCUGCAACUCGACUGCGUGAAGUCGGAAUCGCUAGUAAUCGUGAAUCAGAAUGUCACGGUGAAUACGUUCCCGGGCCUU